GCCGCGUGUAGGAAGAAGGCCUUCGGGUCGUAAACUACUGUCAAGAGGGAAGAAACUGUUGGACAUUAAUACGGUCCAUCACUGACGGUACCUCUAGAGGAAGCACCGGCUAACUCCGUGCCAGCAGCCGCGGUAAUACGGAGGGUGCGAGCGUUAAUCGGAAUCACUGGGCGUAAAGCGUGCGUAGGCGGCGUGUCAAGUCAGACGUGAAAGCCCUCGGCUCAACCGGGGAAUUGCGUUUGAAACUGAUAUGCUAGAGUCUCGGAGAGGUUGGCGGAAUUCCAGGUGUAGGAGUGAAAUCCGUAGAUAUCUGGAGGAACACCGGUGGCGAAGGCGGCCAACUGGACGA
RNAcentral lists this ribosomal RNA (349 nucleotides) under uncultured bacterium. RNAcentral's name for it is "bacterial SSU rRNA". It matches the Rfam family "Bacterial small subunit ribosomal RNA", at positions 396 to 736 of the family's 1533-position model. The record is from RNAcentral.